GCAAACUUGGUCAUUUAGAGGAAGUAAAAGUCGUAACAAGGUCUCCGUUGGUGAACCAGCGGAGGGAUCAUUACAAAAAUGAGUAGCAAUACUCUCUAACCCCUAUGUGAACUAUACCUAUUCUUUCUGUUGCUUCGGUAGGCAGUCCCUGGGAGGGACUCGCGAGGCCUGGCGGUUUAAACCAGGCGCCUGCCGGAGGGACGCAACCCCCAAACUCUUGUUGUCUCGCAGUGGAAAUUCUGAGUAACUAGACAAAUAAAUCAAAACUUUCAACAACGGAUCUCUUGGUUCUGGCAUCGAUGAAGAACGCAGC
This 313-nucleotide unclassified non-coding RNA is filed under the name uncultured fungus. Its description in RNAcentral is "partial contains small subunit ribosomal RNA, internal transcribed spacer 1, and 5.8S ribosomal RNA". The stretch from base 1 to 73 matches the Rfam family "Eukaryotic small subunit ribosomal RNA", at positions 1759 to 1831 of the family's 1831-position model. The record is from RNAcentral. Lineage: Eukaryota; Fungi.